RNAcentral lists this ribosomal RNA (257 nucleotides) under Bacillus pumilus. RNAcentral's name for it is "partial 23S ribosomal RNA". It matches the Rfam family "Bacterial large subunit ribosomal RNA", at positions 2669 to 2925 of the family's 2925-position model. The record is from RNAcentral. Lineage: Bacteria; Bacillati; Bacillota; Bacilli; Caryophanales; Bacillaceae.
GAGCUGUCCUUAGUACGAGAGGACCGGGAUGGACGCACCGCUGGUGUACCAGUUGUUCUGCCAAGGGCAUCGCUGGGUAGCUAUGUGCGGACGGGAUAAGUGCUGAAAGCAUCUAAGCAUGAAGCCCCCCUCAAGAUGAGAUUUCCCAUUCCGCAAGGAAGUAAGAUCCCUGAAAGAUGAUCAGGUUGAUAGGUCUGAGGUGGAAGCGUGGUGACACGUGGAGCUGACAGAUACUAAUAGAUCGAGGACUUAACCUU